GACGACGCUGGCGGCGUGCUUAACACAUGCAAGUCGAACGGUGACGAGGAGCUUGCUCCUCCGAUCAGUGGCGAACGGGUGAGUAACACGUGAGUAACCUGCCCCAGACUCUGGAAUAACAGUUGGAAACAGCUGCUAAUACCGGAUACGAGACGGAGAGGCAUCUCUACCGUCUGGAAAGUUUUUCGGUCUGGGAUGGACUCGCGGCCUAUCAGCUUGUUGGUGAGGUAAUGGCUCACCAAGGCGACGACGGGUAGCCGGCCUGAGAGGGCGACCGGCCACACUGGGACUGAGACACGGCCCAGACUCCUACGGGAGGCAGCAGUGGGGAAUAUUGCACAAUGGGCGAAACGCCUGAUGCAGCAACGCCGCGUGAGGGAUGACGGCCUUCGGGUUGUAAACCUCUUUCAGUAGGGAAGAAGCGAAAGUGACGGUACCUACAGAAGAAGCACCGGCUAACUACGUG
RNAcentral lists this ribosomal RNA (466 nucleotides) under uncultured bacterium. RNAcentral describes it as "bacterial SSU rRNA". It matches the Rfam family "Bacterial small subunit ribosomal RNA", at positions 33 to 507 of the family's 1533-position model. The record is from RNAcentral.